This 220-nucleotide unclassified non-coding RNA is filed under the name plant metagenome. Its description in RNAcentral is "partial contains small subunit ribosomal RNA, internal transcribed spacer 1, and 5.8S ribosomal RNA". The record is from RNAcentral.
UUUCCGUAGGUGAACCUGCGGAAGGAUCAUUACAGAGUUCAUGCCCUCACGGGUAGAUCUCCCACCCUUGAAUAUUUAUACCUUAGUUGCUUUGGCAGGCCGUGGAAACACCAUGGGCUCCGGCUUAUGCGUGCCUGCCAGAGGAAACAAACUCUGACAUUAGUGAUGUCUGAGUACUAUAUAAUAGUUAAAACUUUCAACAACGGAUCUCUUGGUUCUG